AGUUCCGGCUGUUUGUUCGGGAAGUGGAUCCGCCGCUGCCGGAGCAGCCCGGAGGGAGCUGCGGAUCGCGAGGCCAGUACCGACCCCGCCCGCCCGCGCGCACCGCCCCCGCCCGCCAUGGCCCGGGACUACGACCACCUCUUCAAGCUGCUCAUCAUCGGCGACAGCGGUGUGGGCAAGAGCAGUUUACUGUUGCGUUUUGCAGACAACACUUUCUCAGGCAGCUACAUCACCACGAUCGGAGUGGAUUUCAAGAUCCGGACCGUGGAGAUCAACGGGGAGAAGGUGAAGCUGCAGAUCUGGGACACAGCGGGGCAGGAGCGCUUCCGCACCAUCACCUCCACGUAUUAUCGGGGGACCCACGGGGUCAUUGUGGUUUACGACGUCACCAGUGCCGAGUCCUUUGUCAAUGUCAAGCGGUGGCUUCACGAAAUCAACCAGAACUGUGAUGAUGUGUGCCGAAUAUUAGGUGAGGCUGCACUCAGGGCCGGGUCGGGGUUGGGUGGGAGAGAGGCAGCCGGCUGCGCCCCUCAGGGCUGCGCUGACUCUGC
RNAcentral lists this small RNA (551 nucleotides) under Pan troglodytes (chimpanzee). RNAcentral describes it as "retained intron". The record is from RNAcentral. Lineage: Eukaryota; Metazoa; Chordata; Mammalia; Primates; Hominidae.